GGUCAAGCUAAUAAGGGCUUGCGGCGGAUGCCUUGGCGUCAAGGGCCGAAGAAGGGCGUAGCAAGACUGCGAUAAGCCUCGGUGAGCCGUCUAGCUGGCAUAGCCGGGGAUUCCCGAAUGGGGGAACCCCUCCGACUAAAUGUCGGAGACCCCUACCUCAACCCUUAGGGUAGGGGGGGUAAGCAGGGGAACUGAAACAUCUAAGUACCCUGAGGAAAAGUAAUCAACCGAGAUUCCCUUAGUAGUGGCGAACGAACGGGGAAGAGCCCAAACCUGAGAGGCUUCACGGCCUGGGAGCCCAUGUCUCUUGGGGGUUGUAAGGCGCGUCUGUUCCGAUCCCAGUAGGAACAAGGAGUAAGAAACCUCUGACCUAGCUGAAGGUCCCUGGAAAGGGCCGUCAUAGAGGGUGAUAGCCCCGUAGGCGAAAAGAAAGAGACUCUCGGUGUGACCUUGAGUACCACGGGACACGGGAAAUCCCGUGGGAAGCAGGGGGGACCACCCUCCAAGGCAAAAUACCCUUGGCGACCGAUAGUGAACAAGUACCGUGAGGGAAAGGUGAAAAGCACCCCAGACGGGGAGUGAAAUAGAUCUGAAACCGCAAGCCUACAGACCGUCGGAGGUUCAAUUCGUUGGACUGACGGCGUGCCUAUUGAAGAAUGAGCCGGCGAGUUGCUGGGCGUGGCGAGGUUAACUCCGUUGUCGGAGGGAGCCGUAGCGAAAGCGAGUCCGAAUAGGGCGUCCAGUCGCGUUCAGCAGACCCGAAACCGGGUGAGCUACCCAUGGUCAGAGUGAAGCCCCGAUAAUCUCGGGGUGAAGGCUCGAACCCGUUGAUGUUGCAAAAUCAUGGGAUGAGCUGUGGGUAGAGGUGAAAUGCCAAUCGAACCCGGAGAUAGCUGGUUCUCCCCGAAAUGCAUUUAGGUGCAGCCUCGAAUGAUAACUUGGGGAGGUAGGGCACUGGAUGGAUAAGGGGGCGUGAG
This 977-nucleotide ribosomal RNA is filed under the name Chloroflexota bacterium. RNAcentral describes it as "Chloroflexi bacterium partial 23S ribosomal RNA". It matches the Rfam family "Bacterial large subunit ribosomal RNA", at positions 1 to 932 of the family's 2925-position model. The record is from RNAcentral. Lineage: Bacteria; Bacillati; Chloroflexota.